This 497-nucleotide ribosomal RNA is filed under the name uncultured bacterium. Its description in RNAcentral is "partial 16S ribosomal RNA". It matches the Rfam family "Bacterial small subunit ribosomal RNA", at positions 28 to 507 of the family's 1533-position model. The record is from RNAcentral.
GACGAACGCUGGCGGCGUGCCUAAUACAUGCAAGUAGAACGCUGAAGAGAGGAGCUUGCUCUUCUUGGAUGAGUUGCGAACGGGUGAGUAACGCGUAGGUAACCUGCCUUGUAGCGGGGGAUAACUAUUGGAAACGAUAGCUAAUACCGCAUAACAAUGGAUGACCCAUGUCAUUUAUUUGAAAGGGGCAAAUGCUCCACUACAAGAUGGACCUGCGUUGUAUUAGCUAGUAGGUGAGGUAACGGCUCACCUAGGCGACGAUACAUAGCCGACCUGAGAGGGUGAUCUGCCACACUGGGACUGGGACACGGCCCAGACUCCUACGGGAGGCAGCAGUAGGGAAUCUUCGGCAAUGGGGGCAACCCUGACCGAGCAACGCCGCGUGAGUGAAGAAGGUUUUCGGAUCGUAAAGCUCUGUUGUAAGUCAAGAACGAGUGUGAGAGUGGAAAGUUCACACUGUGACGGUAGCUUACCAGAAAGGGACGGCUAACUACGUG